Molecule: long non-coding RNA, 505 nt
Organism: Phacochoerus africanus (Common warthog)
Lineage: Eukaryota; Metazoa; Chordata; Mammalia; Artiodactyla; Suidae
Exons: 3
Source: RefSeq, a predicted model, not a curated record
UUGGGGUUUUUGAGGUUUACCAUGGGGCACCAAUGGAAUAGCAAAUGACAAGAUAAAACCUGAAAGACAAACGUGAAGGUUCAAAUCUCAAUAGAUGUGGCAAAAUAAGAUGAAUAUCAUUUGAGAAUAAAAGAACGGACAUAGUAUCUUCUGAAGCCUUUUCUACUCCUGUGAUAUUUUUCAUUUUCAAGUAUGAUACAAGUCUAAAGAAGAUAAACAUGCCCUGCUUUUAUCAGGUGCUUUGUGGUGUCCUAGCAGAUGUGCCAUGGCAGCUCACUGACUCCAAGCACACAGGCUGAGCUUGCAUCACAUGACUGCCCUGUGAAGGUCCCACACCUAUUCCAGAUGACAAAUGGAGGAGAGAUGGAUUGCUGAGUGAUUGUGAGAAGAAGGCAGAAUGGAUGCUAAGUUACAAACUACAGCAAAAUCAAAUAUAUCUAGAUAUACUUUCUGACUCUACUAGUUAUUCUCUAAAUUUAGAUGUGUUAAUAUUUCUGAUCCUCAG